GUCCAUGCCGUAAACGAUGUCUACUAGCCGUUGGGGCCUUUGAGGCUUUAGUGGCGCAGCUAACGCGAUAAGUAGACCGCCUGGGGAGUACGGUCGCAAGACUAAAAACUCAAAAUGAAUUGACGGGGGCCCGCACAAGCGGUGGAGCAUGUGGUUUAAUUCGAUGCAACGCGAAGAACCUUACCUGGUCUUGACAUAGUAAGAACUUUCCAGAGAUGGAUUGGUGCCUUCUGGAGCUUACAUACAGGUGCUGCAUGGCUGUCGU
RNAcentral lists this ribosomal RNA (265 nucleotides) under uncultured bacterium. RNAcentral's name for it is "partial 16S ribosomal RNA". It matches the Rfam family "Bacterial small subunit ribosomal RNA", at positions 793 to 1055 of the family's 1533-position model. The record is from RNAcentral.